Molecule: ribosomal RNA, 1530 nt
Filed under: Escherichia coli HVH 139 (4-3192644)
Lineage: Bacteria; Pseudomonadati; Pseudomonadota; Gammaproteobacteria; Enterobacterales; Enterobacteriaceae
Description: bacterial SSU rRNA
Rfam family: Bacterial small subunit ribosomal RNA
Source: RNAcentral
AGAGUUUGAUCAUGGCUCAGAUUGAACGCUGGCGGCAGGCCUAACACAUGCAAGUCGAACGGUAACAGGAAGAAGCUUGCUUCUUUGCUGACGAGUGGCGGACGGGUGAGUAAUGUCUGGGAAACUGCCUGAUGGAGGGGGAUAACUACUGGAAACGGUAGCUAAUACCGCAUAACGUCGCAAGACCAAAGAGGGGGACCUUCGGGCCUCUUGCCAUCGGAUGUGCCCAGAUGGGAUUAGCUUGUUGGUGGGGUAACGGCUCACCAAGGCGACGAUCCCUAGCUGGUCUGAGAGGAUGACCAGCCACACUGGAACUGAGACACGGUCCAGACUCCUACGGGAGGCAGCAGUGGGGAAUAUUGCACAAUGGGCGCAAGCCUGAUGCAGCCAUGCCGCGUGUAUGAAGAAGGCCUUCGGGUUGUAAAGUACUUUCAGCGGGGAGGAAGGGAGUAAAGUUAAUACCUUUGCUCAUUGACGUUACCCACAGAAGAAGCACCGGCUAACUCCGUGCCAGCAGCCGCGGUAAUACGGAGGGUGCAAGCGUUAAUCGGAAUUACUGGGCGUAAAGCGCACGCAGGCGGUUUGUUAAGUCAGAUGUGAAAUCCCCGGGCUCAACCUGGGAACUGCAUCUGAUACUGGCAAGCUUGAGUCUCGUAGAGGGGGGUAGAAUUCCAGGUGUAGCGGUGAAAUGCGUAGAGAUCUGGAGGAAUACCGGUGGCGAAGGCGGCCCCCUGGACGAAGACUGACGCUCAGGUGCGAAAGCGUGGGGAGCAAACAGGAUUAGAUACCCUGGUAGUCCACGCCGUAAACGAUGUCGACUUGGAGGUUGUGCCCUUGAGGCGUGGCUUCCGGAGCUAACGCGUUAAGUCGACCGCCUGGGGAGUACGGCCGCAAGGUUAAAACUCAAAUGAAUUGACGGGGGCCCGCACAAGCGGUGGAGCAUGUGGUUUAAUUCGAUGCAACGCGAAGAACCUUACCUGGUCUUGACAUCCACGGAAGUUUUCAGAGAUGAGAAUGUGCCUUCGGGAACCGUGAGACAGGUGCUGCAUGGCUGUCGUCAGCUCGUGUUGUGAAAUGUUGGGUUAAGUCCCGCAACGAGCGCAACCCUUAUCCUUUGUUGCCAGCGGUCCGGCCGGGAACUCAAAGGAGACUGCCAGUGAUAAACUGGAGGAAGGUGGGGAUGACGUCAAGUCAUCAUGGCCCUUACGACCAGGGCUACACACGUGCUACAAUGGCGCAUACAAAGAGAAGCGACCUCGCGAGAGCAAGCGGACCUCAUAAAGUGCGUCGUAGUCCGGAUUGGAGUCUGCAACUCGACUCCAUGAAGUCGGAAUCGCUAGUAAUCGUGGAUCAGAAUGCCACGGUGAAUACGUUCCCGGGCCUUGUACACACCGCCCGUCACACCAUGGGAGUGGGUUGCAAAAGAAGUAGGUAGCUUAACCUUCGGGAGGGCGCUUACCACUUUGUGAUUCAUGACUGGGGUGAAGUCGUAACAAGGUAACCGUAGGGGAACCUGCGGUUGGAUCACCU